RNAcentral lists this ribosomal RNA (465 nucleotides) under uncultured bacterium. RNAcentral describes it as "bacterial SSU rRNA". It matches the Rfam family "Bacterial small subunit ribosomal RNA", at positions 28 to 507 of the family's 1533-position model. The record is from RNAcentral.
GAUGAACGCUGGCGGCGUGCCUAAUACAUGCAAGUCGAACGGGAGCCUCGAUUUCGGUUGAGGUGAGAGUGGCGAACGGGUGAGUAACACAUAGCUGACCUGCCCUUCAGAGGGGGACAACCGCUGGAAACGGUGGCUAAUACCCCAUACGCUUGCUCGGGUUAGAGGCCGGGUGAGGAAAGGCUUUGGUGCUGAGGGAGGGGGCUGUGGCCCAUCAGCUAGUUGGUAGGGUAACGGCCUACCAAAGCGAGGACGGGUAGGGGACCUGAGAGGGUGACCCCCCACACGGGCACUGAGAGACGGGCCCGACUCCUACGGGAGGCAGCAGUAAGGGAUAUUGCGCCAAUGGGCGAAAGCCUGACGCAGCAACGCCGCGUGCGGGAAGAAGGCCUUCGGGUUGUAAACCGCUUUUCUAGGGGAAGAGGGAGGACGGUACCCUGGGAAUAAGUCUCGGCUAACUACGUG